Molecule: long non-coding RNA, 871 nt
Filed under: Olea europaea (common olive)
Lineage: Eukaryota; Viridiplantae; Streptophyta; Magnoliopsida; Lamiales; Oleaceae
Description: long non-coding RNA (OEUR_LNC003782)
Source: RNAcentral
CUCUCUCUCUCUCUCACCGACUGACCCUCUCUCUCGCGAUUGUCCCUCUCUCGCUGACUGUCUCUCAUCAAGCCUCUGGCGCCGAAGAAAAAUUUUCAGUUACCUUCUUCCUCUCAUCAAAUCUCCGGCACCGGUUAAUGGGUUGACACAUUGAAACUUGAGUUCACCGAUUUUUGUAAGUCAAAUUUUAUUAAAACAAUCUGUUCAUUUCUUGGCGAAAAUAUAUGUAAUAAUGAUGUGUGACUUGAGUGUACCAGAAUCAUUAGUAGAAUGUGGAAUUGAAGAGAAACAUAUGUAAUAAGGGUUGAGUGUACAACUUCUUCUUGUUGAUUUGGAGUUUCUUUUCCUUGUCUACUUUUUACUAUUUCGAUUAUUGUAGUCCUUGCAUUUUCUUUUUGAUAUCCACGUGCUGUAUUUUUUGCAUUGCAGUUCUCGAAGGCUCCGUUCCUGCGUCUAUGACAAUUAAGAUAGGUCAUGUCCAGGAUGCCUUCCAUUCUCCUAGUUGCUGAAUUAUUUAACUUAAAUAGCUUCUUGGUUAUAAUAACUGGUUUAUAAUAUAUAAUCAGAUUGUAGGCAUCACCUUUUCGACUUCAUAUGUCACGGUUAACAAUCUAAUACAUAUUUGGAGCCUUGAAACUAUUAUUUGUAUCUUAUCACUUAUGGCAAUCUUACAUAUUAUCUGUGACAGAAUAGUGUAGACUGUAGCUGUGGGAUGACGGGAAAGCUUUUAACAAUAUUAGUGGAAUAAUUUUUGUUAUUUUCUAUUGUCAAGUUGAAUAUGGAAUUAUUCAAUCAUUAUUAGAAGAUUUUGAGAUCAAAUUUGUCUUUCUCUAAUUUCUUCUCUUGUACUUAGUAAAAUUAAAGAUAACUU